UAGACACCGUCCAACUAAAUGCUUCCUGGCAGGUUCCUUCUCCACAUACACAUGGUAGACACCGUCCAACUAAAUGCUUCCUGGCAGGUUCCUUCUCCACAUACACAUGGUAGACACCGUCCAACUAAAUGCUUCCUGGCAGGUUCCUUCUCCACAUACACAUGGUAGACACCGUCCAACUAAAUGCUUCCUGGCAGGUUCCUUCUCCACAUACACAUGGUAGACACCGUCCAACUAAAUGCU
Molecule: long non-coding RNA, 243 nt
Organism: Coregonus clupeaformis (lake whitefish)
Lineage: Eukaryota; Metazoa; Chordata; Actinopteri; Salmoniformes; Salmonidae
Exons: 3
Source: RefSeq, a predicted model, not a curated record